UAGGGAAUUUUCGUCAAUGGGGGAAACCCUGAACGAGCAAUGCCGCGUGAGUGAAGAAGGUCUUCGGAUCGUAAAGCUCUGUUGUAAGUGAAGAACGGCUCAUAGAGGAAAUGCUAUGGGAGUGACGGUAGCUUACCAGAAAGCCACGGCUAACUACGUGCCAGCAGCCGCGGUAAUACGUAGGUGGCAAGCGUUAUCCGGAAUCAUUGGGCGUAAAGGGUGCGUAGGCGGCGUACUAAGUCUGUAGUAAAAGGCAAUGGCUCAACCAUUGUAAGCUAUGGAAACUGGUAUGCUGGAGUGCAGAAGAGGGCGAUGGAAUUCCAUGUGUAGCGGUAAAAUGCGUAGAUAUAUGGAGGAACACCAGUGGCGAAGGCGGUCGCCUGGUCUGUAACUGACACUGAGGCACGAAAGCGUGGGGAGCAAAUAGG
RNAcentral lists this ribosomal RNA (428 nucleotides) under Acidobacteriota bacterium. RNAcentral describes it as "Acidobacteria bacterium partial 16S ribosomal RNA". It matches the Rfam family "Bacterial small subunit ribosomal RNA", at positions 355 to 776 of the family's 1533-position model. Lineage: Bacteria; Pseudomonadati; Acidobacteriota. The record is from RNAcentral.